GUAAUUAGAAUGUCACCACUUUCUUCUUCUCCUUUCUUGUUUACUAUCAGCAUUCUCUUGCCCCAUGCCUAGUUGCAGCUGGCUAUACGGCCGUUUGAUUACAAGUCAGAUUUCUCAAUUUCAUUUUAUUAUUACUUUUGCAGUUCAGUGACAACAUGUUUGUGUUAUGGGCCUGUGGGUCAUGAGCAAAUAAGGCCUUCCCCCUGUGACUUCACAGUUUGUCCAAUGCUGGUCUUCAUCCUGUGAAACUGUAGCCUUGUCCCACUUCCUCGAAUGGAACGUGUCAGCAUCCCAGUCCUCUUACAGCACCAGGCUCC
Molecule: long non-coding RNA, 317 nt
Filed under: Cricetulus griseus (Chinese hamster)
Lineage: Eukaryota; Metazoa; Chordata; Mammalia; Rodentia; Cricetidae
Description: lncRNA (ENSCGRG00015037942.1)
Source: RNAcentral